CAACGGUUCCUCUUAGGGACUGGAGCUCAUCAGAAUCCUGAGCGGAAGUAAGCUGAGCCCUGUCAGCCAACUACCUCUGAAGACGGGCAACUUCGUCGGUCGCCACCCUGAGUCUCCCUUUAUAUUCAUCCACCUGCCUGCGCCAACCGGCCCGAUGCACGUCGUAGCUCAUCUCGGCGUCUUGAAGCUGCUGCUGAAGGGCGGAGACCCUCUUCGACCACUCCCGAUCGCCGUCGGCCCGGGCCAAGAGCCGGGAUGAACUUCC
This 265-nucleotide long non-coding RNA is filed under the name Elaeis guineensis (African oil palm). RNAcentral describes it as "long non-coding RNA (EGUI_LNC082605)". Lineage: Eukaryota; Viridiplantae; Streptophyta; Magnoliopsida; Arecales; Arecaceae. The record is from RNAcentral.